GUCUACUGCCAUACGACUUUGAACGUGCCUCAUGUUGGAAGCUAAGCAGGGUCAGGCCUGGUUAGAUUUGGUAUGGGAGACCACAUGGGCAUACCAGGUGCUGUAGAGU
RNAcentral lists this ribosomal RNA (109 nucleotides) under Cebus imitator (Panamanian white-faced capuchin). Lineage: Eukaryota; Metazoa; Chordata; Mammalia; Primates; Cebidae. The record is from RNAcentral.